CCUACGGGAGGCAGCAGUGAGGAAUAUUGGUCAAUGGACGAGAGUCUGAACCAGCCAAGUAGCGUGAAGGAUGACUGCCCUAUGGGUUGUAAACUUCUUUUAUAUGGGAAUAAAACGUUCCACGUGUGGGAUUUUGUAUGUACCAUAUGAAUAAGGAUAGGAGAACUCAGUGCCAGCAGCCGCGGGAAUACGGAGGAUCCGAGCGUUAUCCGGAUUUAUUGGGCUUAAAGGGAGCGUAGGUGGAUUGUUAAGUCAGAUGUGAAAGUUAGCGGCUCAACCGUAAAAUUGCAGUUGAAACUGGCAGUCUUGAGUACAGUAGAGGGGGGCGGAAUGCGUGGUGUAGCGGUGAAAUGCUUAGAGAUCACGAAGAACUCCGAUGGCGAAGGCAGUUCACUGGACUGCAACUGAUGCUGAGGCGCGAAAGUGUGGGUAGCAAACAGGAUUAGAUACCCCGGUAGUC
This 460-nucleotide ribosomal RNA is filed under the name uncultured bacterium. RNAcentral's name for it is "partial 16S ribosomal RNA". It matches the Rfam family "Bacterial small subunit ribosomal RNA", at positions 338 to 795 of the family's 1533-position model. The record is from RNAcentral.